This is a long non-coding RNA of Dermacentor andersoni, 1169 nucleotides long. RefSeq lists it as uncharacterized. Lineage: Eukaryota; Metazoa; Arthropoda; Arachnida; Ixodida; Ixodidae. The record is from RefSeq and is a predicted model, not a curated record.
GGACAAGAAGCAAAGCUCGAAAAGCACAGAAAGAUCACCAUUCCGUCCAGUUAACUCUAACCAUUCAAAAGAAAGAAAUACAGAUUCCACAUCUUUGGCGUGUCCCAUCCCCUGAAGAUGCCAUUGCUUCCGUUCCUUCCACGCGUGGUUCGAAAAUUUCUCUACUUCCUUUGGCAUGACACCCGCGCGGUCCUCCGGAAACGGUCGACAUUCGCGAACCGGAUUUCCGGGCAAGUAUAAAGCGGCGCUCUGGAAGCGUUCGCGAGUAUGCGACAACUUUCCUUCCGGCGCUUGCGGUGUCAUUUCCGUUAAUGGAGGAUCCUCGGUCCCUUCCAUCAGGCACGUCCGAAAAAAAAAGAAAGAAAAAACAAAACAGAAGAAAAUGAGAGAGAAAAGAAUUUAAACAAAAUAUCGCACGAGCGUGCGCGGCCGUAUAACGAGGGCGAUACACUCUCCGAUUUCGCGUCCAACGGUUUCUGAGGGCCUGCACCUUUUGCGUCUUGUCCGAGUGUUGUUGGGAGAAGCAAAAUCCGCGGAUUUCUCAUAUUUCUGACAUGCUGUCGUGUGUAGGCGCGCUACGCGUCGCUUUGUGACACAUUCCUUUCUUCCCUUCACGUGACCAUUCCAUCUCCGAAACGAUAUUAAAGGGGCCGACAGAUGCAGUAUAUCACACAUGUGGUACAGAAGUUAUAUAAACAGAAAUAAAGUGCCUCUGAAGGCUGGUGAACCUUUCGACGGGUGGACGUAUCUUCUGUCUUCGACAAAGAUUUGUCCACUUAUAGGAACAUCGGCCAGCCUUCCGAGGCACUUUAUCCCUUUGAAAUUAUGUAACUUCUAUCUCUCAGAAGCAAUAAGAGAUGUGUGAAAGGUACAGAAGAUAUCGCCUCGGCCAGCUAGUUUACUCUGGACUAUACCACUGCUGAUGUACUAUGCACCUUUCAUCGCUUCUUACAUGCCGUCCUCCCAAAGCAACGGGUAAUAUAAAACGAAUAGGAAAAAGGUGUAGACAGUAAAAAAAAAAAAAAAAGCAACAGUAAGUUACAAAGCACCCUAGUGAAAGCGGUGCUUUAAAUACGACGCGAUUUCACUUACGAGGAUGACAUGGAUAUUGCGAAGGGAAUAUAUAUAUAUAUAUAUAUAUAUAUAUAUAUAUAUAUGUGUGUGUGUGU